UCUGGAGCCUGGCGGCGGGACGGCGGGAUCCGGUGGGAGCCGGAGUCCCGCCGAGGGGGGCUGGAGGUGGAGGGGCCCGGCGAGGCCGCGAUUUGAAGCCCAGCGGCAAGGACCAGGCGGCGCCUGCGGCCGGCCCCUGGGAGGAGUGCUUCCAGGCGGCUGUGCAGCUGGCGCUGCGGGCGGGACAGAUCAUCAGAAAAGCCCUGACUGAGGAAAAACGUGUCUCAACGAAAACAUCAGCUGCAGAUCUUGUGACAGAAACGGAUCACCUUGUGGAAGAUUUAAUUAUUUCUGAGUUGCGGGAAAGGUUUCCUUCACACAGGUUCAUUGCAGAAGAGGCCGCGGCUUCUGGGGCCAAGUGUGUGCUCACCCACAACCCGACCUGGAUCAUCGACCCCAUCGACGGUACCUGCAAUUUUGUGCACAGAUUCCCGACUGUGGCGGUUAGCAUUGGAUUGGCUGUUCGACAAGAGCUGGAAUUCGGAGUGAUUUACCACUGCACAGAGGAGCGGCUGUACACGGGCCGGCGGGGUCGGGGCGCCUUCUGCAACGGCCAGCGGCUCCGGGUCUCCGGGGAGACAGAUCUCUCAAAGGCCUUGGUUCUGACCGAAAUCGGCCCCAAGCGUGACCCUGCGACCCUGAAACUGUUCCUGAGUAACAUGGAGCGGCUGCUGCACGCCAAGGCGCAUGGGGUCCGAGUGAUUGGAAGCUCCACAUUGGCACUGUGCCACCUGGCCUCGGGAGCUGCGGAUGCCUAUUACCAGUUUGGUCUGCACUGCUGGGACCUGGCGGCUGCCACAGUUAUCAUCAGAGAAGCAGGCGGCAUUGUGAUCGACACUUCGGGUGGACCCCUCGACCUCAUGGCUUGCAAAGUGGUUGCUGCCAGCACCCGGGAGAUGGCGAUGCUCAUAGCUCAGGCCUUACAGACGAUUAACUAUGGGCGGGAUGAUGAGAAGUGACCCUGGCUGAGGCAAAGCUGCUCUCGAGGCCUCCCUGGGCCGCUGUGGGCUCCUGGGGAGGUGGCCCUCAUGGCCCACGGUCCCUGCCAGUGGCUCACACUCUGCCCCUGGCUACCCCAGAGGGAGCUGCCACGCUACAGGGAGUGGCUGGCCUUUUAAAUCCGCAUCUCUCUCACUGGGAUUUGGUGGUUAGCUGUUUCUCUCUUUAAUCUCAGGUAGCCUUUU
This is an RNA transcript of Piliocolobus tephrosceles (Ugandan red Colobus), 1184 nucleotides long. It is a transcript of the gene named inositol monophosphatase 2 pseudogene, with no coding region annotated. The transcript has a single exon. Lineage: Eukaryota; Metazoa; Chordata; Mammalia; Primates; Cercopithecidae. The record is from RefSeq and is a predicted model, not a curated record.